CCUACGGGAGGCAGCAGUGAGGAAUAUUGGUCAAUGGACGUAAGGCUGAACCAGCCAAGUCGCGUGAAGGAAGAAGGAUCUAUGGUUUGUAAACUUCUUUUAUAGGGGAAUAAAGGUAUCCACGUGUGGAUAUUUGCAUGUACCCUAUGAAUAAGCAUCGGCUAACUCCGUGCCAGCAGCCGCGGUAAUACGGAGGAUGCGAGCGUUAUCCGGAUUUAUUGGGUUUAAAGGGUGCGUAGGUUGUUUUUUAAGUCAGCGGUGAAAGUUUGUGGCUCAACCAUAAAAUUGCCGUUGAAACUGGAAGACGUGAGUGUGUUUGAGGUAGGCGGAAUGCGUGGUGUAGCGGUGAAAUGCAUAGAUAUCACGCAGAACUCCGAUUGCGAAGGCAGCUUACUAAGCCAUAACUGACACUGAAGCACGAAAGCGUGGGGAUCAAACAGGAUUAGAUACCCUUGUAGUC
RNAcentral lists this ribosomal RNA (460 nucleotides) under uncultured bacterium. Its description in RNAcentral is "partial 16S ribosomal RNA". It matches the Rfam family "Bacterial small subunit ribosomal RNA", at positions 338 to 795 of the family's 1533-position model. The record is from RNAcentral.